Molecule: ribosomal RNA, 238 nt
Filed under: uncultured bacterium
Lineage: Bacteria
Description: partial 16S ribosomal RNA
Rfam family: Bacterial small subunit ribosomal RNA
Source: RNAcentral
CCGGCGCACGGGUGCGUAACGCGUAUGCAACCUACCUUUAACAGGUGGAUAACACUGAGAAAUUGGUACUAAUACCCCAUAAUAUCAUAGAAGGCAUCUUUUAUGGUUGAAAAUUCCGAUGGUUAGAGAUGGGCAUGCGUUGUAUUAGCUAGUUGGUGGGGUAACGGCUCACCAAGGCGACGAUACAUAGGGGGACUGAGAGGUUAACCCCCCACACUGGUACUGAGACACGGACCAG